RNAcentral lists this ribosomal RNA (454 nucleotides) under uncultured bacterium. Its description in RNAcentral is "bacterial SSU rRNA". It matches the Rfam family "Bacterial small subunit ribosomal RNA", at positions 21 to 507 of the family's 1533-position model. The record is from RNAcentral.
GGCUCAGAGCGAACGCUAGCGGCGGGCUUAACACAUGCAAGUCGAGCGGACUUUUUCGGAAGUCAGCGGCGAACGGGUGAGUAACACGUAGGUAACGUACCCUCUGGUGGGGAAUAACUCAGGGAAACUUGAGCUAAUACCGCAUGUGCCCUUCGGGGUGAAAGACUUCGGUUGCCAGAGGAUCGGCCUGCGGCCCAUUAUUUAAUCCUAGUUGGUAGGGUAACGGCCUACCAAGGGUACGAUGGGUAGCUGGUCUGAGAGGAUGAUCAGCCACACUGGGACUGAGACACGGCCCAGACUCCUACGGGAGGCAGCAGUGGGGAAUAUUGGACAAUGGGCGAAAGCCUGAUCCAGCCACGCCGCGUGAGUGAUGAAGGCCUUCGGGUUGUAAAGCUCUGUCGGGAGGGACGAAGUUCUGACGGUACCUCCCAAGAAAGCGCCGGCUAACUCCGUG